This 103-nucleotide ribosomal RNA is filed under the name Flavobacterium sp. Lineage: Bacteria; Pseudomonadati; Bacteroidota; Flavobacteriia; Flavobacteriales; Flavobacteriaceae. The record is from RNAcentral.
UAAGGUGAGUAUUGCGGCCUGGCUCACCUCUUCCCAUCCCGAACAGAGAAGUUAGGCCCGCCUGCGCAGAGAUGGUACUGCUGGGAGUAUGUCGUCGCCUUUU